This 576-nucleotide long non-coding RNA is filed under the name Fukomys damarensis (Damara mole-rat). RNAcentral describes it as "lncRNA (ENSFDAG00000023658.1)". Lineage: Eukaryota; Metazoa; Chordata; Mammalia; Rodentia; Bathyergidae. The record is from RNAcentral.
AUUUACAAUUGUGUGUUUGAGUGCAAUUGCAAAAGCAACCAUGCUGUUUUCUAGUCCUUAUGGUUUCCUAUAAAGUGCAAAAUGCUCUUAAAGCAGCUCCCAGGUGCUCCUGGUUGGCUCCGUAGAGUCGUUUAAGUCGGUUACUUGGAAACAGUGAGAAAACCUGGGCUGGUUAAUCUAUGCACCGAGUGACGCAUCUCCCCCUAGUGAGAAACAGCUCUGGAGGGAACCUUUCUUCUUGUGCAUCUCGUGUUUUAAAUUGUGACUGAGAAGUUAUGUGUGUGGUUGGUUUAUGCCAGCAUGUGGAGAGAGAGAGAAAGAAAAAAAAAAAAUCAGAAGGACUCUGCUUCCUUCUUCUGGAAGGAGUUGAGCUAAAGGACAAUCAGAUUCUGGGGUCUUCCUGGGACUUCCAUCUACUGGUGACGUGACUGGAGCAGGAGGGGGACCUGAGCCCAUGGCUGAGCUUGAAGUCCAGCCUUUCUUCUGCAGAAUUACACGCACAUUCCAGUUUCCAGCAUCUUCGUGGCUUUCUGGUAAGAAAAUGAUUGAACUGCAGGACAGUCUUGGAGAUCAGGG